GGGGCAGUAGCUCAGUUGGGAGAGCGCGUCGUUCGCAAUGACGAGGUCAGGGGUUCGAUUCCCCUCUGCUCCACCA
RNAcentral lists this transfer RNA (76 nucleotides) under Albidovulum inexpectatum. Its description in RNAcentral is "tRNA-Ala". It matches the Rfam family "tRNA". Rfam says of the family: Transfer RNA (tRNA) molecules are approximately 80 nucleotides in length. Their secondary structure includes four short double-helical elements and three loops (D, anti-codon, and T loops). Further hydrogen bonds mediate the characteristic L-shaped molecular structure. tRNAs have two regions of fundamental functional importance: the anti-codon, which is responsible for specific mRNA codon recognition, and the 3' end, to which the tRNAs corresponding amino acid is attached (by aminoacyl-tRNA synthetases). tRNAs cope with the degeneracy of the genetic code in two manners: having more than one tRNA (with a specific anti-codon) for a particular amino acid; and 'wobble' base-pairing, i.e. permitting non-standard base-pairing at the 3rd anti-codon position. Lineage: Bacteria; Pseudomonadati; Pseudomonadota; Alphaproteobacteria; Rhodobacterales; Paracoccaceae. The record is from RNAcentral. RNAcentral also lists the same sequence under 3 other names.